RNAcentral lists this long non-coding RNA (1628 nucleotides) under Homo sapiens (human). RNAcentral's name for it is "HSALNT0332132". Lineage: Eukaryota; Metazoa; Chordata; Mammalia; Primates; Hominidae. The record is from RNAcentral.
CUAGGUGGAGAAGACAGGGCUCCAAAUGGACUUCCAGUCCCAUCCACGUCACAGAGGCAAAUUGUCAGAGACAAAGACCUAAGCCGGUCCUUUUCCAGGAGUAAAUGACCAUCGUGCGCCCAUGGGAAGAGUGCUGCAUCCACGGAGGACAUGGGCCAACAGUGCUCUCAAAUGGGUUUCAUGAAAGCAUCUGUGACUCAUCCCUGUUCAAGAAUGUUUUCAUUACGAUUCAGCAGAAGCGAUGUGCCAGCUUUUGAUAAUGUGGCUACUUAAAACAACUGAAAUAACACAUGUGGUCCCAUUGUGGCCACAUUAGAUUUCUACUGGCCAGCGUGGGACUAGACUCAGGCUAAGGUCCUCCCAACUCAGCUCCAGGUUUAUGAGCCGUAACUCAGCAGAAGCCUAGCAUGAGAACAACUCAUCUGAAGCUCCAACAUUUGGGGAAUGCAACCUUUCGACAGACAUUUGCUGAAUGGAUAGGAGACUCCUGAAAGCAGAAUUCUGCACAUUCUGUGGACCAGCCCUGACUACGGAGAGCAGGUGUUAGCCAGUAUCCAUGCGCAGUGCCUCUUAGUCUUACCUGUCUGCUGCCUUACGCAAGCAUGGAGCUUAAUAUGCUAGCUGUGUUCUCCUAACCUCAGAUAUCUGUAAAACCAGCCACAGUAAGAUAACAUGGUAGAGCACAAAAUGCUUAGAAGAGAUUUAUUUGAAGCAAUGCUUCCCAGAAGUUUUUCAAUGCAGCUUAUGGCGAGAAACACAUUUUACAUCUCUACUCAGUACGCAGCCACUCAUACUCAACUGAAACAUCUUCUGAAACAAUAUUUCACUUCACUCUCUGCAAUACAGAAAAUACCAGAUCGUAUUGUAUGUUAUUUCAUUGUUUUAAAAUCCUGAGCCUAGCUUGCUAAUAGAUUACAACUCAGUUUGAAAAGCACAGGCUAAGGGGCUUCAAAUAGGGGUGACACAUUGAACACACACAUUUAUCACCUCUCCCUUCACAGAUCUCAUUAAAAUGAUAAUAAAGGAACAAAAUGGCAGAAAUCCACAAGGACAAACAGCAAACAAGAGGGACAUCAGCAGAUAGGCAACCUCAACAAGUAUAUCACAAUGAGUGACACACCCCCUAUAACAGCCAAUUUUGAUGGUCCUCCCAUAGCUCUUGCCUUAUUCUUUGUAAUAGGAUUCAGAUUGUUUAAAAUCCCCAUAUUCUACCGCAAAGUCAUGUUAUCAGGAAAGACCAACCCUAACCCCAGUUCCAUGGAGUAAAGAUUAAUUAAUCUAAACUCUAUUAAUUGUAUUCCCUUUAUCUGGUGAUAAGUUUAAGAGCUGAUCCCUUAAUUUUGGACAUGGGAGCACAAGAGAAACUCACUCAAGACUGGGAUUAAUUGUAGGAAAUAUUUCACAGUUUCCACAAGUCAGAAGAGCUAAUCCCAACCCUCUGUAUCUGGAACAUACACUGCUGCCAUUUUCUGCCCAUGAAGGGAAAUACCCAAGGUACUCUGGCAGAACAGAUUUUUGAAAACUUGAGUCCCUGAUGAUGUAAGUCAGCCACAAUGUUAAUCAACCCCAGAGCCACCUUAUUUCUAGACUUAUUAUGCAAGAUAAAAAAAAUCAACUUGCAGUAUGAA